This is a non-coding RNA of Phrynosoma platyrhinos (Desert horned lizard), 71 nucleotides long. Lineage: Eukaryota; Metazoa; Chordata; Lepidosauria; Squamata; Phrynosomatidae. The record is from the annotation of a GenBank genome assembly.
UGUAUGUGGUGUAGUGGUUUGAGUGCUGGACUACAACUCUAGAGAUCUGGAUUUGAAUCCCUGCUUGGCAA